UUNGGUUAAAGAGAAACUGCAAGCCAGAGU
This 30-nucleotide non-coding RNA is filed under the name Mus musculus (house mouse). Lineage: Eukaryota; Metazoa; Chordata; Mammalia; Rodentia; Muridae. The record is from RNAcentral.